Molecule: ribosomal RNA, 301 nt
Filed under: uncultured bacterium
Lineage: Bacteria
Description: partial 16S ribosomal RNA
Rfam family: Bacterial small subunit ribosomal RNA
Source: RNAcentral
CAGCCGCCGCGGGAAUACAGAGGGUGCGAGCGUUAAUCGGAUUUACUGGGCGUAAAGCGUGCGUAGGCGGCUUUUUAAGUCGGAUGUGAAAUCCCUGAGCUUAACUUUGGACUUGCAUUGGAUACUGGGAAGCUAGAGUAUGGGAGAGGAUGGUAGAAUUCCCGGUGUAGCGGUGAAAUGCGUAGAGAUCUGGAAGAAUACCGAUGGCGAAGGCAGCCAGCUGGGCUAAUACUGACACUGAGGUACGAAAGCAUGGGGAGCAAACAGGAUUAGAUACCCCGGUAGUCCCUGUCUCUUAUAC